GAUGAACGCUGGCGGCGUGCCUAAUACAUGCAAGUCGAGCGAACGGACGAGAAGCUUGCUUCUCUGAUGUUAGCGGCGGACGGGUGAGUAACACGUGGAUAACCUACCUAUAAGACUGGGAUAACUUCGGGAAACCGGAGCUAAUACCGGAUAAUAUUUUGAACCGCAUGGUUCAAAAGUGAAAGACGGUCUUGCUGUCACUUAUAGAUGGAUCCGCGCUGCAUUAGCUAGUUGGUAAGGUAACGGCUUACCAAGGCAACGAUGCAUAGCCGACCUGAGAGGGUGAUCGGCCACACUGGAACUGAGACACGGUCCAGACUCCUACGGGAGGCAGCAGUAGGGAAUCUUCCGCAAUGGGCGAAAGCCUGACGGAGCAACGCCGCGUGAGUGAUGAAGGUCUUCGGAUCGUAAAACUCUGUUAUUAGGGAAGAACAUAUGUGUAAGUAACUGUGCACAUCUUGACGGUACCUAAUCAGAAAGCCACGGCUAACUACGUGCCAGCAGCCGCGGUAAUACGUAGGUGGCAAGCGUUAUCCGGAAUUAUUGGGCGUAAAGCGCGCGUAGGCGGUUUUUUAAGUCUGAUGUGAAAGCCCACGGCUCAACCGUGGAGGGUCAUUGGAAACUGGAAAACUUGAGUGCAGAAGAGGAAAGUGGAAUUCCAUGUGUAGCGGUGAAAUGCGCAGAGAUAUGGAGGAACACCAGUGGCGAAGGCGACUUUCUGGUCUGUAACUGACGCUGAUGUGCGAAAGCGUGGGGAUCAAACAGGAUUAGAUACCCUGGUAGUCCACGCCGUAAACGAUGAGUGCUAAGUGUUAGGGGGUUUCCGCCCCUUAGUGCUGCAGCUAACGCAUUAAGCACCCCGCCUGGGGAGUACGACCGCAAGGUUGAAACUCAAAGGAAUUGACGGGGACCCGCACAAGCGGUGGAGCAUGUGGUUUAAUUCGAAGCAACGCGAAGAACCUUACCAAAUCUUGACAUCCUUUGACAACUCUAGAGAUAGAGCUUUCCCCUUCGGGGGACAAAGUGACAGGUGGUGCAUGGUUGUCGUCAGCUCGUGUCGUGAGAUGUUGGGUUAAGUCCCGCAACGAGCGCAACCCUUAAGCUUAGUUGCCAUCAUUAAGUUGGGCACUCUAAGUUGACUGCCGGUGACAAACCGGAGGAAGGUGGGGAUGACGUCAAAUCAUCAUGCCCCUUAUGAUUUGGGCUACACACGUGCUACAAUGGACAAUACAAAGGGCAGCGAAACCGCGAGGUCAAGCAAAUCCCAUAAAGUUGUUCUCAGUUCGGAUUGUAGUCUGCAACUCGACUACAUGAAGCUGGAAUCGCUAGUAAUCGUAGAUCAGCAUGCUACGGUGAAUACGUUCCCGGGUCU
Molecule: ribosomal RNA, 1372 nt
Filed under: uncultured bacterium
Lineage: Bacteria
Description: bacterial SSU rRNA
Rfam family: Bacterial small subunit ribosomal RNA
Source: RNAcentral